This 497-nucleotide ribosomal RNA is filed under the name uncultured bacterium. RNAcentral's name for it is "partial 16S ribosomal RNA". It matches the Rfam family "Bacterial small subunit ribosomal RNA", at positions 28 to 507 of the family's 1533-position model. The record is from RNAcentral.
GAUGAACGCUGGCGGCGUGCCUAAUACAUGCAAGUCGAGCGAACAGACGAGGAGCUUGCUCCUCUGACGUUAGCGGCGGACGGGUGAGUAACACGUGGAUAACCUACCUAUAAGACUGGGAUAACUUCGGGAAACCGGAGCUAAUACCGGAUAAUAUAUUGAACCGCAUGGUUCAAUAGUGAAAGACGGUUUUGCUGUCACUUAUAGAUGGAUCCGCGCCGCAUUAGCUAGUUGGUAAGGUAACGGCUUACCAAGGCAACGAUGCGUAGCCGACCUGAGAGGGUGAUCGGCAACACUGGAACGUAGACCCGGUCCAGACUCCUACGGGAGGCAGCAGUAGGGAAUCUUCCGCAAUGGGCGAAAGCCUGACGGAUCAACGCCGCGUGAGUGAUGAAGGUCUUCGGAUCGUAAAACUCUGUUAUUAGGGAAGAACAAAUGUGUAAGUAACUAUGCACGUCUUGACGGUACCUAAUAAGAAAGCCACGGCUAACUACGUG